AGGUUACUGCUAUCGAGGUCCGACUAAGCCAUGCGAGUCGAAUGUAGCAAUACAUGGCGUACUGCUCAGUAACACGUGGACAACCUACCCUCAGCACGGGGAUAAACCCGGGAAACUGGGUAUAAUACCCGAUAGAACUGGGAUGCUGGAAUGCUUCCAGGUCGAAAGCUCCGGCGACUGAGGAUGGGUCUGCGGCCUAUCAGGUAGUAGUGGGUGUAACGUACCUACUAGCCUACGACGGGUACGGGUUGUGAGAGCAAGAGCCCGGAGAUGGAUUCUGAGACGCGAAUCCAGGCCCUACGGGGUGCAGCAGGCGCGAAAACUUUACAAUGCUGGCAACAGCGAUAAGGGGACCUCGAGUGCCAGGAUACAAUCUUGGCUGUCGUGAUGCCUAAAAAGCAUUGCAUAGCAAGGGCCGGGCAAGACCGGUGCCAGCCGCCGCGGUAACACCGGCGGCUCGAGUGGUAACCGCUAUUAUUGGGUCUAAAGGGUCUGUAGCCGGCCGGAUAAGUCUUUUGGGAAAUCCAGCUGCUCAACAGUUGGGCUUUCAGAAGAUACUGUUCGGCUCGAGGCCGGGAGAGGUGAGAGGUACUUCAGGGGUAGGGGUGAAAUCUUGUAAUCCUUGAAGGACCACCAGUGGCGAAGGCGUCUCACCAGAACGGACCUGACGGCAAGGGACGAAAGCUAGGGGCACGAACCGGAUUAGAUACCCGGGUAGUCCUAGCCGUAAACGAUACUCGCUAGGUGUCGGCCACGGUGCGACCGUGGUCGGUGCCGUAGGGAAGCCGUGAAGCGAGCCACCUGGGAAGUACGGCCGCAAGGCUGAAACUUAAAGGAAU
This 839-nucleotide ribosomal RNA is filed under the name uncultured euryarchaeote. RNAcentral describes it as "bacterial SSU rRNA". It matches the Rfam family "Archaeal small subunit ribosomal RNA", at positions 21 to 865 of the family's 1478-position model. Lineage: Archaea; Methanobacteriati; Methanobacteriota. The record is from RNAcentral.